GAUGAACGCUGGCGGCGUGCCUAACACAUGCAAGUCGAGCGGUAAGGCCCUUUCGGGGGUACACGAGCGGCGAACGGGUGAGUAACACGUGGGUGACCUGCCCUCAGCUCUGGGAUAAGCCUGGGAAACCGGGUCUAAUACUGGAUAUGACUCCAUGACGCAUGUUGUGGGGUGGAAAGCCUUGUGCGGCUGAGGAUGGGCCCGCGGCCUAUCAGCUUGUUGGUGGGGNGAUGGCCUACCAAGGCGACGACGGGUAGCCGGCCUGAGAGGGCGACCGGCCACACUGGGACUGAGACACGGCCCAGACUCCUACGGGAGGCAGCAGUGGGGAAUCUUGCGCAAUGGGCGAAAGCCUGACGCAGCGACGCCGCGUGAGGGAUGACGGCCUGGUGUAAC
Molecule: ribosomal RNA, 396 nt
Filed under: uncultured bacterium
Lineage: Bacteria
Description: bacterial SSU rRNA
Rfam family: Bacterial small subunit ribosomal RNA
Source: RNAcentral